Molecule: ribosomal RNA, 425 nt
Filed under: uncultured bacterium
Lineage: Bacteria
Description: partial 16S ribosomal RNA
Rfam family: Bacterial small subunit ribosomal RNA
Source: RNAcentral
GUGGGGAAUCUUGCGCAAUGGGCGAAAGCCUGACGCAGCCAUGCCGCGUGAAUGAUGAAGGUCUUAGGAUUGUAAAAUUCUUUCACCGGGGACGAUAAUGACGGUACCCGGAGAAGAAGCCCCGGCUAACUUCGUGCCAGCAGCCGCGGUAAUACGAAGGGGGCUAGCGUUGCUCGGAAUUACUGGGCGUAAAGGGCGCGUAGGCGGAUCGUUAAGUCAGGGGUGAAAUCCCAGAGCUCAACUCUGGAACUGACCUUGAUACUGGCGAUCUUGAGUGGGAGAGAGGUAUGUGGAACUCCGAGUGUAGAGGUGAAAGUCGUAGAUAUUCGGAAGAACACCAGUGGCGAAGGCGACAUACUGGCCCAAUACUGACGCUGAGGCUCGAAAGCGUGGGGAGCAAACAGGAUUAGAAACCCGGGUAGUCC